GAGGAAUAUUGGGCAAUGCCCGCAAGGGUGACCCAGCAACGCCGCGUGGAGGAUGAAUGUCGUAAGAUUGUAAACUCCUGUUAGAGGGGAAGAAUAGUACCGGUUGGACCGGUAUAUGACUGUACCCUCAGAGAAAGCCUCGGCUAACUACGUGCCAGCAGCCGCGGUAAUACGUAGGGGGCAAGCGUUGUCCGGAUUUACUGGGUGUAAAGGGCGCGCAGGCGGGAUAAAAAGUCAGUGGUGAAAUCCUACAGCUUAACUGUAGAACUGCCUUUGAUACUUUUAUUCUUGAGUUCGGGAGAGAGAGACGGAAUUCCAGGUGUAGUGGUGAAAUACGUAGAUAUCUGGAAGAACACCAGUUGCGAAGGCGGUCUCUUGGUCCGACACUGACGCUGAGGCGCGAAAGCGUGGGGAGCAAACA
This 421-nucleotide ribosomal RNA is filed under the name uncultured bacterium. Its description in RNAcentral is "bacterial SSU rRNA". It matches the Rfam family "Bacterial small subunit ribosomal RNA", at positions 356 to 774 of the family's 1533-position model. The record is from RNAcentral.